GUCAGCAACCCAAUCCCCUCAAAGGGAGAGGCUUGCGUAUUGUUGGGAGCGUUAUCCCAGGCUGUUGCAAGCGUUCCUGCUGACUAGUCUCAGCCAGGGCCUCUUCUGAGGCUAUCGGGCUACGUUCGGAAAGUCAUGCUACCUACAAAUGCCUACUCUAGUUUGUAGCUCUAGCGCCUGUGAUUAAAAGUUCUGGUGGGGAGGAACGGUGUUGCAGGCCGAAUAAGCUUUCUGAACCUUGACGAAGAGUACCGUAC
Molecule: non-coding RNA, 257 nt
Organism: Ktedonobacter sp. 13_2_20CM_2_54_8
Lineage: Bacteria; Bacillati; Chloroflexota; Ktedonobacteria; Ktedonobacterales; Ktedonobacteraceae
Source: Rfam